RNAcentral lists this ribosomal RNA (431 nucleotides) under uncultured bacterium. RNAcentral's name for it is "bacterial SSU rRNA". It matches the Rfam family "Bacterial small subunit ribosomal RNA", at positions 354 to 776 of the family's 1533-position model. The record is from RNAcentral.
GUGGGGAAUAUUGCGCAAUGGCCGCAAGGCUGACGCAGCGACGCCGUGUGUGGGAUGAAGGCUCUCGGGUUGUAAACCACUGUCAGGAGGGACGAAUACUCGGCUUCAAAUAGUUGACCGAGGGUGACGGUACCUCCAAAGGAAGCACCGGCUAACUCCGUGCCAGCAGCCGCGGUAACACGGAGGGUGCGAGCGUUGUCCGGAUUCACUGGGCGUAAAGCGCGCGUAGGCGGCUUUGUAAGUCAUCUGUGAAAUCCCGGGGCUCAACUCCGGGGCUGCAGGUGAUACUGCAGAGCUAGAGCUCGGUAGAGGCAAGUGGAAUUCCCGGUGUAGCGGUGGAAUGCGUAGAUAUCGGGAAGAACACCAGUGGCGAAGGCGGCUUGCUGGGCCGAUGCUGACGCUGAGGUGCGAAAGCGUGGGGAGCAAACAGG